This 2923-nucleotide ribosomal RNA is filed under the name Klebsiella pneumoniae. RNAcentral describes it as "23S ribosomal RNA". It matches the Rfam family "Bacterial large subunit ribosomal RNA". The record is from RNAcentral. Lineage: Bacteria; Pseudomonadati; Pseudomonadota; Gammaproteobacteria; Enterobacterales; Enterobacteriaceae.
GGGUUGUGAGGUUAAGCGACUAAGCGUACACGGUGGAUGCCCUGGCAGUCAGAGGCGAUGAAGGACGUGCUAAUCUGCGAAAAGCGUCGGUAAGGUGAUAUGAACCGUUACAGCCGGCGAUGUCCGAAUGGGGAAACCCAGUGUGAUUCGUCACACUAUCGUUAACUGAAUACAUAGGUUAACGAGGCGAACCGGGGGAACUGAAACAUCUAAGUACCCCGAGGAAAAGAAAUCAACCGAGAUUCCCCCAGUAGCGGCGAGCGAACGGGGAGCAGCCCAGAGUCUGAAUCAGCUUGUGUGUUAGUGGAACGGUCUGGAAAGUCCGACGGUACAGGGUGAUAGUCCCGUACACCAAAAUGCACAGGCUGUGAACUCGAAGAGUAGGGCGGGACACGUGGUAUCCUGUCUGAAUAUGGGGGGACCAUCCUCCAAGGCUAAAUACUCCUGACUGACCGAUAGUGAACCAGUACCGUGAGGGAAAGGCGAAAAGAACCCCGGCGAGGGGAGUGAAAAAGAACCUGAAACCGUGUACGUACAAGCAGUGGGAGCACCUUCGGGUGUGACUGCGUACCUUUUGUAUAAUGGGUCAGCGACUUAUAUUCUGUAGCAAGGUUAACCGUAUAGGGGAGCCGCAGGGAAACCGAGUCUUAACUGGGCGUUAAGUUGCAGGGUAUAGACCCGAAACCCGGUGAUCUAGCCAUGGGCAGGUUGAAGGUUGGGUAACACUAACUGGAGGACCGAACCGACUAAUGUUGAAAAAUUAGCGGAUGACUUGUGGCUGGGGGUGAAAGGCCAAUCAAACCGGGAGAUAGCUGGUUCUCCCCGAAAGCUAUUUAGGUAGCGCCUCGUGAACUCAUCUUCGGGGGUAGAGCACUGUUUCGGCUAGGGGGUCAUCCCGACUUACCAACCCGAUGCAAACUACGAAUACCGAAGAAUGUUAUCACGGGAGACACACGGCGGGUGCUAACGUCCGUCGUGAAGAGGGAAACAACCCAGACCGCCAGCUAAGGUCCCAAAGUCAUGGUUAAGUGGGAAACGAUGUGGGAAGGCACAGACAGCCAGGAUGUUGGCUUAGAAGCAGCCAUCAUUUAAAGAAAGCGUAAUAGCUCACUGGUCGAGUCGGCCUGCGCGGAAGAUGUAACGGGGCUAAACCAUGCACCGAAGCUGCGGCAGCGACACUAUGUGUUGUUGGGUAGGGGAGCGUUCUGUAAGCCUGCGAAGGUGUGCUGUGAGGCAUGCUGGAGGUAUCAGAAGUGCGAAUGCUGACAUAAGUAACGAUAAAGCGGGUGAAAAGCCCGCUCGCCGGAAGACCAAGGGUUCCUGUCCAACGUUAAUCGGGGCAGGGUGAGUCGACCCCUAAGGCGAGGCCGAAAGGCGUAGUCGAUGGGAAACAGGUUAAUAUUCCUGUACUUGGUGUUACUGCGAAGGGGGGACGGAGAAGGCUAUGUUAGCCGGGCGACGGUUGUCCCGGUUUAAGCAUGUAGGCUGAUUGUCCAGGCAAAUCCGGAUAAUCAAGGCUGAGGUGUGAUGACGAGGCACUACGGUGCUGAAGUAACAAAUGCCCUGCUUCCAGGAAAAGCCUCUAAGCAUCAGGUAACAUCAAAUCGUACCCCAAACCGACACAGGUGGUCAGGUAGAGAAUACCAAGGCGCUUGAGAGAACUCGGGUGAAGGAACUAGGCAAAAUGGUGCCGUAACUUCGGGAGAAGGCACGCUGGUGUGUAGGUGAAGUCCCUGCGGAUGGAGCUGAGACCAGUCGAAGAUACCAGCUGGCUGCAACUGUUUAUUAAAAACACAGCACUGUGCAAACACGAAAGUGGACGUAUACGGUGUGACGCCUGCCCGGUGCCGGAAGGUUAAUUGAUGGGGUUAUCCGUAAGGAGAAGCUCUUGAUCGAAGCCCCGGUAAACGGCGGCCGUAACUAUAACGGUCCUAAGGUAGCGAAAUUCCUUGUCGGGUAAGUUCCGACCUGCACGAAUGGCGUAAUGAUGGCCAGGCUGUCUCCACCCGAGACUCAGUGAAAUUGAACUCGCUGUGAAGAUGCAGUGUACCCGCGGCAAGACGGAAAGACCCCGUGAACCUUUACUAUAGCUUGACACUGAACAUUGAGCCUUGAUGUGUAGGAUAGGUGGGAGGCUUUGAAGCGUGGACGCCAGUCUGCGUGGAGCCAACCUUGAAAUACCACCCUUUAAUGUUUGAUGUUCUAACGUUGGCCCCUGACCGGGGUUGCGGACAGUGUCUGGUGGGUAGUUUGACUGGGGCGGUCUCCUCCCAAAGCGUAACGGAGGAGCACGAAGGUUAGCUAAUCCUGGUCGGACAUCAGGAGGUUAGUGCAAUGGCAUAAGCUAGCUUGACUGCGAGCGUGACGGCGCGAGCAGGUGCGAAAGCAGGUCAUAGUGAUCCGGUGGUUCUGAAUGGAAGGGCCAUCGCUCAACGGAUAAAAGGUACUCCGGGGAUAACAGGCUGAUACCGCCCAAGAGUUCAUAUCGACGGCGGUGUUUGGCACCUCGAUGUCGGCUCAUCACAUCCUGGGGCUGAAGUAGGUCCCAAGGGUAUGGCUGUUCGCCAUUUAAAGUGGUACGCGAGCUGGGUUUAGAACGUCGUGAGACAGUUCGGUCCCUAUCUGCCGUGGGCGCUGGAGAAUUGAGGGGGGCUGCUCCUAGUACGAGAGGACCGGAGUGGACGCAUCACUGGUGUUCGGGUUGUCAUGCCAAUGGCACUGCCCGGUAGCUAAAUGCGGAAGAGAUAAGUGCUGAAAGCAUCUAAGCACGAAACUUGCCCCGAGAUGAGUUCUCCCUGAGACUUUAAGUCUCCUGAAGGAACGUUGAAGACGACGACGUUGAUAGGCCGGGUGUGUAAGCGCAGCGAUGCGUUGAGCUAACCGGUACUAAUGAACCGUGAGGCUUAACCUUACAACGCCGAAG